This 1401-nucleotide long non-coding RNA is filed under the name Gadus morhua (Atlantic cod). RNAcentral describes it as "lncRNA (ENSGMOG00000031596.1)". The record is from RNAcentral. Lineage: Eukaryota; Metazoa; Chordata; Actinopteri; Gadiformes; Gadidae.
CAUCAUAUGACACAGUUGCAGCAGCCAUAAAGGAUCCACUCGUCUUGGCCAAAUUGCAGUUCUACGCAGCAAUUGCCAGGACCUUCAAUCCCUUCCUGAAAAAAUAUCAGACGGAUGAGCCUGUGCUCCCAUUCCUCCCCAAAGGACCUGACCGAGUUGAUGAUAUCUACCCAGACGCUUCAUAAAGAGAGAAGUACUACACGAUAUCACUGCCCUGCAGCUGACCAAACUGGAUGUCACAGACAAGACCAUCUGGCUCAGCCCACAAGACAUCAGCAUUGGUCUAGGUGCAGAGUCAGUCCUUAAGAGAAUCAAAGGUGCAGAGCUCAGGGUGCUCGAGUUCAAGAGAGAGUGCAUGCAGGGACUGAGUAACAUGAUCAAGAAAGUGCAGGACAAGAGCCCCCUCAAGUAUCUGACUGUUAGGCAGAUGGUGUGCCUGAAUCCGUCAGUAAUGUAUAGAGAACCAGAAAGAGGCAGGAAUCACAUGAAAGGGCUGGUUCAAAGGUUUCUCCAGGACAAACAGCUUACUGAUACUUCUUCGGGGGAUGUCAUACUGCAGCAGUUUGACAGUCUCCUUUCCUUGGAGAGCCGGAGUGAGGACUUCCUCUCCUUUCAAACCAUGCAGACGAGGCUGGACAUCUUCCUGAGCAGCGCCAUGGAGCCUUAUCCCGAGCUGUGGGCCUUCUGCAAGAAGCUGCUCAUCCUCAUCCACGGUCAAGCUACAGUUGAGCGUGGAUUCUCAAUCAAUAAAGAGGUGGAGUCUGAUAACUUGGCGGAGGAUACAGUGGUCACACGGAGACUGGUGUGUGACUACAUCAUACAACAUGGAGGUGUUACCAAGGUUCCACUCAGUAAACCGCUACUGGAAAGUGUAGCAAGGGCAAGGACAAGGUAUCGUACCCAUCUGGAGACCAAAAGAAGGAACAGGGAGGCAAAAGACCAGGCUCUCAAGAGGAGGGAAGCAGAGGACUGUCUUGAGGAGCUGAAGGUUAAGAGGAGACGUGUACAGGAGGUAUCUGAGGGUCUGGCUAGGGAUGCAGACAAGAUGGCUGAGGAGGCUGAAGCGAAGGCAGGGAGCAAGAUGGCUGGCCUGAUCACCAGGUCAAACAUUCUGCGGAGAGGCCAUAAGGAGAAGUUGGCAGAACUGGCUCUCCUUGAUAAAGAGAUCGCUGCUAAGAGUGCAGAGCUUAGGAGUUGACUGUGUGAUCAUAAUUUUAUUUAUUGUUGAGUUGAUUUUCAUUGUUUAUUGCUCAGGAGUCUGUGCUGUUGGCGUAAGUACUCACCACUAUGCUGCAAUGUUCCAUCAUUCCAUAAUGCUUUACAGUCCACAUUUUCACAUUUGUUGAAAUAAAUGAACACAUUUUGAACAAACGCUGUCGGUAGGUCUGUGAAAUAGGCCGU